This 475-nucleotide ribosomal RNA is filed under the name uncultured Glomus. RNAcentral's name for it is "SSU rRNA". It matches the Rfam family "Eukaryotic small subunit ribosomal RNA", at positions 569 to 1048 of the family's 1831-position model. The record is from RNAcentral. Lineage: Eukaryota; Fungi; Glomeromycota; Glomeromycetes; Glomerales; Glomeraceae.
AGCAGCCGCGGUAAUUCCAGCUCCAAUAGCGUAUAUUAAAGUUGUUGCAGUUAAAAAGCUCGUAGUUGAAUUUCGGGAUCAAUUAAUUGGUCGUGCCUCUGGUACGUACUGAUUUUAUUGGUUUCUCCCUUCUGACGAACCAUGAUGUCAUUAAUUUGGUGUCGUGGAGAAUCAGGACUGUUACUUUGAAAAAAUUAGAGUGUUUAAAGCAAGCUAACGCUUGAAUACAUUAGCAUGGAAUAAUGAAAUAGGACGUUUGAUCCUAUUUUGUUGGUUUCUAGGAUCGACGUAAUGAUUAAUAGGGAUAGUUGGGGGCAUUAGUAUUCAAUUGUCAGAGGUGAAAUUCUUGGAUUUAUUGAAGACUAACUACUGCGAAAGCAUUUGCCAAGGAUGUUUUCAUUAAUCAAGAACGAAAGUUAGGGGAUCGAAGACGAUCAGAUACCGUCGUAGUCUUAACCAUAAACUAUGCCGACUA